UUCCUGAUUUUCCCAUCGUUCGGGGCAUUCUGGGGCUGUUUUGGCUAUUGGUUGCUUGUUUGGUCUUGAGCUGAACGGGUGGCUUCUAGCCUGGUGGCUUCGGGGAUGUUGACCGUAAAGGUGGAUGAGUGGUGUUUGGUUUGUUACGUGUGGUUGGCUGCGGCAUUUGCAACAACUUCCAUGCUUUCAGACCUCUUCAUUUGUGCGGCAAGGCUUGUAUCACCUUGAGCGUAUUGUGGGUUUUCUGUGUUGAAUACCUAAUCAAUGGUAUCGGUUGGAUUGAUCAAUGUUUCAUUUCGUCUGUCGUCGCAUUCGCGGCGUGAGAUGAACCUUGAUGCGGUCUCUUUGAUCCACCUCGUUGAAGUGCAUGCUUUGACGUUGUGGCGCAUUGAGGAUUGCUUGGUCUCUUGUAUGCGGAACAUGUAGCGGGCAUGAAUUUCACGAUUCUCGUUUGCCCUCAUAUUAGCGUAACGCUUCUCUUACACGACUUGCUCCACGUUUNAG
Molecule: unclassified non-coding RNA, 504 nt
Filed under: Artemisia ruthiae
Lineage: Eukaryota; Viridiplantae; Streptophyta; Magnoliopsida; Asterales; Asteraceae
Description: partial external transcribed spacer
Source: RNAcentral